CGAGCGCAACCCUUGUCCCUUAGUUGCCAGCACGUAAUGGUGGGAACUCUAGGGAGACUGCCGGUGACAACCCGGAGGAAGGUGGGGACGACGUCAAGUCAUCAUGGCCCUUACGGCCUGGGCUACACACGUGCUACAAUGGGCAGUACAGAGGGCAGCCAAGUCGCGAGGCGGAGCAAAUCCCUUAAAACUGUUCGUAGUCCGGAUUGGAUUCUGCAACUCGCCUCCUUGAAGUCGGAAUCCCUAGUAAUCGCGAAUCAGAAUGCCCCGGUGAAUACUUUCCCGGGCCUUGUACACCCCGCC
This 303-nucleotide ribosomal RNA is filed under the name uncultured Alcanivorax sp. RNAcentral describes it as "bacterial SSU rRNA". It matches the Rfam family "Bacterial small subunit ribosomal RNA", at positions 1093 to 1394 of the family's 1533-position model. Lineage: Bacteria; Pseudomonadati; Pseudomonadota; Gammaproteobacteria; Oceanospirillales; Alcanivoracaceae. The record is from RNAcentral.